Molecule: ribosomal RNA, 397 nt
Filed under: uncultured bacterium
Lineage: Bacteria
Description: partial 16S ribosomal RNA
Rfam family: Bacterial small subunit ribosomal RNA
Source: RNAcentral
AUACGUAGGGUGCAAGCGUUACUCGGAAUUACUGGGCGUAAAGCGUGCGUAGGCGGUUGUUUAAGUCUGUCGUGAAAGCCCUGGGCUCAACUUGGGAAUGGCGAUGGAAACUGGGCGACUAGAGUGUGGCAGAGGGAAGUGGAAUUCCAGGUGUAGCAGUGAAAUGCGUAGAGAUCAGGAGGAACAUCCGUGGCGAAGGCGACUGCCUGGGCCAACACUGACACUGAGGCACGAAAGCGUGGGGAGCAAACAGGAUUAGAUACCCUGGUAGUCCACGCCCUAAACGAUGCGAACUGGAUGUUGGGUGCAAUUUGGCACGCAGUAUCGAAGCUAACGCGUUAAGUUCGCCGCCUGGGGAGUACGGUCGCAAGACUGAAACUCAAAUGAAUUGACGGGG